AAGAAUUUAGUUAACCUAUAACAUUAGCUUGUCAAGCUAAAAUCAUUAAUAAUAAUAAUUCUUU
Molecule: transfer RNA, 64 nt
Filed under: Curculionidae sp. 3 AH-2016
Lineage: Eukaryota; Metazoa; Arthropoda; Insecta; Coleoptera; Curculionidae
Description: tRNA-Asp
Source: RNAcentral